UGAGCCAAAAAUUCGUCCGAAAACUCAAGUUAUGGCUCCAACCAUUACUACAAACAAAUCCGCUUACUUAUUGCUUUUGAUUUGGAAGCGCCGCCUUCAACUCCUUACAACUCCUUCAUAUGAACUCCAAAAGCAAUAAUUCUUUUAUGAAAGAUUUAGGCCUUGAAAUUGUCGUUCCAGUCGCACCUUUCUAUCUUCAAAAGCUACUGUAAAACUCCUCAUACCUUCAAAAGAGUAACAAUAUAUCUUAAAUAAAUACCUUAACUUCAAAUGGCUAUAACUUAUUCAUCCUAAUUCCAAAUCUUCUAAUUUUUAUACACAAAUUGUACUCUAAAUCCUAAAAUUUACAACCUUAGCUUCUAAUCUCCGGAUGCCCUCUUUGAAGUCACCGAAAUCCUUCUUAAGAUCACAAGCAGCCUCCUCAAAGCCCAUUGGGCAUGGUAUUCGACCAAUAGGGAUGAAGUUCCCCAUUCCUUACCUUCAUCCGACCAUGCUUUGCUUUCAUCCC
This 508-nucleotide long non-coding RNA is filed under the name Physcomitrium patens. RNAcentral's name for it is "long non-coding RNA (PPAT_LNC012782)". Lineage: Eukaryota; Viridiplantae; Streptophyta; Bryopsida; Funariales; Funariaceae. The record is from RNAcentral.